AAAAAAAAAGACAACUGAUCACCAGGGUUGAUUUGGCUGAUCUGGCUGGCUUGACAGAUGUCCCCUUCCUCCCUCACCAUUCCGUGUCCCCUCCCAAAGCUGUGUGCUCAGUGGAAGAGAAUGCCCCUCCCCAGUAAAGAACUGCUGUCCAGUCAAGUGUAUACCAGUAACUGCACUCCCCUGCUAGAACCUCCAAACUCAAAGGACAGAAAAACCAACCCACUGUGCUGAGUAUUACAAGCUGGGCUGGUCAAGGAGAAUGAGGCCUGAGGAGUCUCCAUGGAUUUUACAAGGAGCUUGCUU
Molecule: non-coding RNA, 303 nt
Organism: Fukomys damarensis (Damara mole-rat)
Lineage: Eukaryota; Metazoa; Chordata; Mammalia; Rodentia; Bathyergidae
Source: Rfam